Molecule: ribosomal RNA, 206 nt
Filed under: uncultured bacterium
Lineage: Bacteria
Description: partial 16S ribosomal RNA
Rfam family: Bacterial small subunit ribosomal RNA
Source: RNAcentral
GGAUUGCAGGCUGCAACUCGCCUGCAUGAAGCUGGAAUUGCUAGUAAUCGCGGAUCAGCAAGCCGCGGUGAAUACGUUCCCGGGCCUUGUACACACCGCCCGUCACACCAUGAGAGUCGGGAACACCCGAAGUCCGUAGUCUAACCGCAAGGGGGGCGCGGCCGAAGGUGGGUCCGGUAAUUGGGGUGAAGUCGUAACAAGGUAUC